This 523-nucleotide ribosomal RNA is filed under the name uncultured bacterium. Its description in RNAcentral is "bacterial SSU rRNA". It matches the Rfam family "Bacterial small subunit ribosomal RNA", at positions 8 to 525 of the family's 1533-position model. The record is from RNAcentral.
AGAGUUUGAUCCUGGCUCAGAACGAACGCUGGCGGCGCGCCUAAUACAUGCAAGUCGAGCGAGAAGGUGUAGCAAUACACUUGUAAAGCGGCGAACGGGUGAGGAAUACAUGGGUAAUCUACCAUCGAGUGGGGAAUAACCAGCCGAAAGGUUGGCUAAUACCGCGUACGCCUCCGGAUCUUCGGGUUCGGAGGGAAAGCCACACUGUGAGUGCGGCGCUCUUUGAUGAGCUCAUGUCCUAUCAGCUUGUUGGUAGGGUAACGGCCUACCAAGGCUUUGACGGGUAGCUGGUCUGAGAGGACGAUCAGCCACACUGGCACUGCGACACGGGCCAGACUCCUACGGGAGGCAGCAGUAAGGAAUAUUGCGCAAUGGGCGAAAGCCUGACGCAGCGACGCCGCGUGGGGGAUGAAGGUCUUCGGAUUGUAAACCCCUUUCGGGAGGGAAGAUGGAGCGAGCAAUCGUUCGGACGGUACCUCCAGAAGCAGCCACGGCCAACUUCGUGCCAGCAGCCGCGGUAAUA